AGAACUCACUUCACCAUUCUACACCGAGAACUCCACGAGAAGAACAGGGACUUCCACUCGUUUCCUGCUAGCAUUCAAGGUAACCUUUGCUUGAAUCUCCUCCAUCUUUCCUUCAUGUUUCAUCCUCUGUUCAUUAAAGAACAACAUAAAAUAUAUUUCAGUAAAUUCCAUCUAUCCCUUCCACCAAAGACAAGAGAAGCAGGACUUGAAAACUAACCCAAGAGAACACCAGCAAGUACAGAUCGUUUUAAAGGUUUCAUCUUGAACUCCCAUACCUCUUUCCUUUUUGCAUAUGAUUAAAACACCUCUCAUUUCUUAUUUCAGCAAACCACACGAGUUUAUACACGUUAAGCAGGAGAUUCAUGACAUAUCAUAUGGGCAUAACCAUCUCAUCAUUUCUGUAUAUAUAUAUGUAUAUUUUUUUUUAAUGGGAGCUAUACUAUACUCUGUUAUACAAGUUUGAAUGAUUUAAAGAAAGAAUUUUUAUGAGUUUACUUUCAACUUUGGGCUGUUGUAUCGAGUCGGGUAAGAGAGAGAGUUAC
Molecule: long non-coding RNA, 542 nt
Filed under: Salvia miltiorrhiza (redroot sage)
Lineage: Eukaryota; Viridiplantae; Streptophyta; Magnoliopsida; Lamiales; Lamiaceae
Description: long non-coding RNA (SMIL_LNC004934)
Source: RNAcentral